This 515-nucleotide ribosomal RNA is filed under the name uncultured Fusarium. RNAcentral's name for it is "eukaryotic LSU rRNA". The stretch from base 149 to 302 matches the Rfam family "5.8S ribosomal RNA". The record is from RNAcentral. Lineage: Eukaryota; Fungi; Ascomycota; Sordariomycetes; Hypocreales; Nectriaceae.
UUGGGAAUCGACUAACUCCAACCCCUGUGACAUACCACUUGUUGCCUCGGCGGAUCAGCCCGCUCCCGGUAAAACGGGACGGCCCGCCAGAGGACCCCUAAACUCUGUUUCUAUAUGUAACUUCUGAGUAAAACCAUAAAUAAAUCAAAACUUUCAACAACGGAUCUCUUGGUUCUGGCAUCGAUGAAGAACGCAGCAAAAUGCGAUAAGUAAUGUGAAUUGCAGAAUUCAGUGAAUCAUCGAAUCUUUGAACGCACAUUGCGCCCGCCAGUAUUCUGGCGGGCAUGCCUGUUCGAGCGUCAUUUCAACCCUCAAGCACAGCUUGGUGUUGGGACUCGCGUUAAUUCGCGUUCCUCAAAUUGAUUGGCGGUCACGUCGAGCUUCCAUAGCGUAGUAGUAAAACCCUCGUUACUGGUAAUCGUCGCGGCCACGCCGUUAAACCCCAACUUCUGAAUGUUGACCUCGGAUCAGGUAGGAAUACCCGCUGAACUUAAGCAUAUCAAAGGCGGGAGGAA